UGGGGAAUUUUCCGCAAUGGGCGAAAGCCUGACGGAGCAAUACCGCGUGAGGGAGGAAGGUCUUUGGAUUGUAAACCUCUUUUCUCAGGGAAGAAAAAAAUGACGGUACCUGAGGAAUAAGCAUCGGCUAACUCCGUGCCAGCAGCCGCGGUAAUACGGAGGAUGCGAGCGUUAUCCGGAAUUAUUGGGCGUAAAGCGUCCGUAGGUGGUGUUGAAAGUCUGCCGUCAAAGAGUGGAGCUUAACUCCAUAAAGGCGGUGGAAACUGCAAGACUGGAGUACAGUAGGGGUAGCAGGAAUUCCCAGUGUAGCGGUGAAAUGCGUAGAUAUUGGGAAGAACAUCGGUGGCGAAAGCGUGCUACUGGGCUUGUACUGACACUGAGGGACGAAAGCUAGGGGAGCGAAAG
Molecule: ribosomal RNA, 405 nt
Filed under: uncultured cyanobacterium
Lineage: Bacteria; Bacillati; Cyanobacteriota
Description: partial 16S ribosomal RNA
Rfam family: Bacterial small subunit ribosomal RNA
Source: RNAcentral